Molecule: ribosomal RNA, 469 nt
Filed under: uncultured bacterium
Lineage: Bacteria
Description: bacterial SSU rRNA
Rfam family: Bacterial small subunit ribosomal RNA
Source: RNAcentral
CCACUGAGAAGAUAGUGGACGGAACGGGUGAAGUAACACGGUACGGGUAACCUCGCCCAAGUAAGGAGGGGGAAUAACACGUACCGGGAAACGGGUGACUAAUACCGCAUAGUUUCUUGAUCGCAUGAUUGAGAAAGGAAAGACGGCCUUUGUGCUGUCGCUUAUGGAUGGACCCGCGGCGUAUUAGUUAGUUGGUGAGGUAACGGCUCACCAAGACGAUGAUACGUAGCCGACCUGAGAGGGUGAUCGGCCACAUUGGGACUGAGACACGGCCCAAACUCCUACGGGAGGCAGCAGUAGGGAAUCUUCCGCAAUGGACGAAAGUCUGACGGAGCAACGCCGCGUGAGUGAAGAAAGGUUUUCGGAUCGUAAAACUCUGUUGUCAGAGAAGAACAAGUUGGAGAGUAACUGCUCCAGCCUUGACGGUAUCUGACCAGAAAGCCACGGCUAACUACGUGCCAGCAGCCGC